Molecule: ribosomal RNA, 253 nt
Filed under: uncultured bacterium
Lineage: Bacteria
Description: partial 16S ribosomal RNA
Rfam family: Bacterial small subunit ribosomal RNA
Source: RNAcentral
UACAGAGGGGGCAAGCGUUGUUCGGAAUUACUGGGCGUAAAGGGCGCGUAGGCGGCCUGUUAAGUCGGACGUGAAAUCCCUCGGCUCAACCGGGGAACUGCAUCCGAAACUGCCUUGCUAGAGUAUGGGAGAGGGAAGUGGAAUUUCCGGUGUAGCGGUGAAAUGCGUAGAUAUCGGAAGGAACAUCAGUGGCGAAGGCGACUUCCUGGACCAAUACUGACGCUCAGGUGCGAAAGCGUGGGGAGCAAACAGG